RNAcentral lists this ribosomal RNA (253 nucleotides) under uncultured bacterium. Its description in RNAcentral is "partial 16S ribosomal RNA". It matches the Rfam family "Bacterial small subunit ribosomal RNA", at positions 524 to 776 of the family's 1533-position model. The record is from RNAcentral.
GCCGGAGGGUGCGAUCGUUAUUCGGAAUCAUUGGGCGUAAAGAGCGUGUAGGCGGCCGGUUAAGUCAGGUGUGAAAGCCCGGGGCUCAACCUCGGAAGUGCACUUGAAACUGGUCGGCUUGAGUUCGGGAGAGGGAAGCGGAAUUCCUGGUGUAGAGGUGAAAUUCGUAGAUAUCAGGAGGAACACCGGUGGCGAAGGCGGCUUCCUGGACCGAAACUGACGCUGAGACGCGAAAGCGUGGGGAGCAAACAGG